This 72-nucleotide transfer RNA is filed under the name Bos taurus (domestic cattle). It matches the Rfam family "tRNA". From Rfam's summary of the family: Transfer RNA (tRNA) molecules are approximately 80 nucleotides in length. The record is from Rfam by way of RNAcentral. Lineage: Eukaryota; Metazoa; Chordata; Mammalia; Artiodactyla; Bovidae. RNAcentral also lists the same sequence under 5 other names.
UCCUUGGUGGUCCAGUGGUUAAGACUUGUGCUUUCAAUGCAGAAGGCACAGGUUCAGUCCCUGGUCAGGGAA